AAGAGAAGAACGCUGGAGGAAGGA
Molecule: non-coding RNA, 24 nt
Filed under: Cricetulus griseus (Chinese hamster)
Lineage: Eukaryota; Metazoa; Chordata; Mammalia; Rodentia; Cricetidae
Source: RNAcentral